AGAUUAUAAGUUUUUUAAAUAUUAGUAUGCAAUAUUAAAGUUCCCUUAUAGGAUAAUCUU
This 60-nucleotide transfer RNA is filed under the name Setaphyes kielensis. Its description in RNAcentral is "tRNA-Cys". Lineage: Eukaryota; Metazoa; Kinorhyncha; Allomalorhagida; Pycnophyidae. The record is from RNAcentral.